UGACUUUUGUGAGACAAAAUUGACUUUUGUGAGACAAAAUUCAAUUUUGUCAAUUUUGUCUCAAAAGUCAAUUUUGUCUCACAAAAGUC
Molecule: small RNA, 89 nt
Filed under: Mytilus galloprovincialis (Mediterranean mussel)
Lineage: Eukaryota; Metazoa; Mollusca; Bivalvia; Mytilida; Mytilidae
Source: RNAcentral